Molecule: ribosomal RNA, 2694 nt
Filed under: Klebsiella pneumoniae
Lineage: Bacteria; Pseudomonadati; Pseudomonadota; Gammaproteobacteria; Enterobacterales; Enterobacteriaceae
Description: partial 23S ribosomal RNA
Rfam family: Bacterial large subunit ribosomal RNA
Source: RNAcentral
AAAUCAACCGAGAUUCCCCCAGUAGCGGCGAGCGAACGGGGAGCAGCCCAGAGUCUGAAUCAGCUUGUGUGUUAGUGGAACGGUCUGGAAAGUCCGACGGUACAGGGUGAUAGUCCCGUACACCAAAAUGCACAGGCUGUGAACUCGAAGAGUAGGGCGGGACACGUGGUAUCCUGUCUGAAUAUGGGGGGACCAUCCUCCAAGGCUAAAUACUCCUGACUGACCGAUAGUGAACCAGUACCGUGAGGGAAAGGCGAAAAGAACCCCGGCGAGGGGAGUGAAAAAGAACCUGAAACCGUGUACGUACAAGCAGUGGGAGCACCUUCGGGUGUGACUGCGUACCUUUUGUAUAAUGGGUCAGCGACUUAUAUUCUGUAGCAAGGUUAACCGUAUAGGGGAGCCGCAGGGAAACCGAGUCUUAACUGGGCGUUAAGUUGCAGGGUAUAGACCCGAAACCCGGUGAUCUAGCCAUGGGCAGGUUGAAGGUUGGGUAACACUAACUGGAGGACCGAACCGACUAAUGUUGAAAAAUUAGCGGAUGACUUGUGGCUGGGGGUGAAAGGCCAAUCAAACCGGGAGAUAGCUGGUUCUCCCCGAAAGCUAUUUAGGUAGCGCCUCGUGAAUUCAUCUUCGGGGGUAGAGCACUGUUUCGGCUAGGGGGUCAUCCCGACUUACCAACCCGAUGCAAACUACGAAUACCGAAGAAUGUUAUCACGGGAGACACACGGCGGGUGCUAACGUCCGUCGUGAAGAGGGAAACAACCCAGACCGCCAGCUAAGGUCCCAAAGUCAUGGUUAAGUGGGAAACGAUGUGGGAAGGCACAGACAGCCAGGAUGUUGGCUUAGAAGCAGCCAUCAUUUAAAGAAAGCGUAAUAGCUCACUGGUCGAGUCGGCCUGCGCGGAAGAUGUAACGGGGCUAAACCAUGCACCGAAGCUGCGGCAGCGACACUAUGUGUUGUUGGGUAGGGGAGCGUUCUGUAAGCCUGCGAAGGUGACCUGUGAGGGUUGCUGGAGGUAUCAGAAGUGCGAAUGCUGACAUAAGUAACGAUAAAGCGGGUGAAAAGCCCGCUCGCCGGAAGACCAAGGGUUCCUGUCCAACGUUAAUCGGGGCAGGGUGAGUCGACCCCUAAGGCGAGGCCGAAAGGCGUAGUCGAUGGGAAACAGGUUAAUAUUCCUGUACUUGGUGUUACUGCGAAGGGGGGACGGAGAAGGCUAUGUUAGCCGGGCGACGGUUGUCCCGGUUUAAGCAUGUAGGCUGGUUAUCCAGGCAAAUCCGGAUAAUCAAGGCUGAGGUGUGAUGACGAGGCACUACGGUGCUGAAGUAACAAAUGCCCUGCUUCCAGGAAAAGCCUCUAAGCAUCAGGUAACAUCAAAUCGUACCCCAAACCGACACAGGUGGUCAGGUAGAGAAUACCAAGGCGCUUGAGAGAACUCGGGUGAAGGAACUAGGCAAAAUGGUGCCGUAACUUCGGGAGAAGGCACGCUGGUGUGUAGGUGAAGUCCCUGCGGAUGGAGCUGAGACCAGUCGAAGAUACCAGCUGGCUGCAACUGUUUAUUAAAAACACAGCACUGUGCAAACACGAAAGUGGACGUAUACGGUGUGACGCCUGCCCGGUGCCGGAAGGUUAAUUGAUGGGGUUAUCCGUAAGGAGAAGCUCUUGAUCGAAGCCCCGGUAAACGGCGGCCGUAACUAUAACGGUCCUAAGGUAGCGAAAUUCCUUGUCGGGUAAGUUCCGACCUGCACGAAUGGCGUAAUGAUGGCCAGGCUGUCUCCACCCGAGACUCAGUGAAAUUGAACUCGCUGUGAAGAUGCAGUGUACCCGCGGCAAGACGGAAAGACCCCGUGAACCUUUACUAUAGCUUGACACUGAACAUUGAGCCUUGAUGUGUAGGAUAGGUGGGAGGCUUUGAAGCGUGGACGCCAGUCUGCGUGGAGCCAACCUUGAAAUACCACCCUUUAAUGUUUGAUGUUCUAACGUUGGCCCCUUACCGGGGUUGCGGACAGUGUCUGGUGGGUAGUUUGACUGGGGCGGUCUCCUCCCAAAGCGUAACGGAGGAGCACGAAGGUUAGCUAAUCCUGGUCGGACAUCAGGAGGUUAGUGCAAUGGCAUAAGCUAGCUUGACUGCGAGCGUGACGGCGCGAGCAGGUGCGAAAGCAGGUCAUAGUGAUCCGGUGGUUCUGAAUGGAAGGGCCAUCGCUCAACGGAUAAAAGGUACUCCGGGGAUAACAGGCUGAUACCGCCCAAGAGUUCAUAUCGACGGCGGUGUUUGGCACCUCGAUGUCGGCUCAUCACAUCCUGGGGCUGAAGUAGGUCCCAAGGGUAUGGCUGUUCGCCAUUUAAAGUGGUACGCGAGCUGGGUUUAGAACGUCGUGAGACAGUUCGGUCCCUAUCUGCCGUGGGCGCUGGAGAAUUGAGGGGGGCUGCUCCUAGUACGAGAGGACCGGAGUGGACGCAUCACUGGUGUUCGGGUUGUCAUGCCAAUGGCACUGCCCGGUAGCUAAAUGCGGAAGAGAUAAGUGCUGAAAGCAUCUAAGCACGAAACUUGCCCCGAGAUGAGUUCUCCCUGAGACUUUAAGUCUCCUGAAGGAACGUUAAAGACGAUGACGUUGAUAGGCCGGGUGUGUAAGCGCAGCGAUGCGUUGAGCUAACCGGUACUAAUGAACCGUGAGGCUUAACCUUACAACGCCGAAG